UAUCAUUUGCCUAGUGAACGAAGGGGCUCAAAAUCAACGGCUGAAAAUAAAAAUCUUACAAAAUGUAAUAAUAUGACAUUAAAAUUUUAAAUCAAAAAUAUUGAUCUUGUUUUAUAUAGUAUAAAGAAUUUUCUAUCAAAAUUUCACGUGAUUUGGAUAUUUAUACAUCGUUAAACUUGCAAACGGCUCACUACGGCCAAUGAAAUUUGUUGAUUUUGAGCCCAUUCGAUCACUAGGCAAAUGAUAUUGAAAAAUAAUAAAAUUUAUUUUCUAAGUACUCCAAAUACUCUAGAUCAAGUAUAACGAAGCCGAUCGACGAUUCGAAAGUCGCAACAUCGAAAACGAGCUGAAAGCACGAAAGGCUCCGUACUUCCGAUAGCAUAGUAGCCUCACUCCCUUUUUAUUUACCGAAAAGUUAUUCAGUAAUUAGUAUCAAGAUUAUAUAUUAAUGUCAAGAUUAAAGAGUUUGUUCUCAUCAAGAUUUCAUAUAUUCUAGGCUGCACUGCUGUUGAGUCAUCCAUCUUCUUGUAAAUUCCACAUUCCUACACAUAGUGGACUUCUGCAUCAUCUAGCAGCACUCACUUUCUAGAGUAGUUGGGAAGUUAAUUUUCAAAAGAAAGGGCUUCAAAUAGAGGUCAGCUUCCUGGGUUAUACCCAUAGUUAGUUAAUUCGGACUCGGCAAAAAUUCGGUACGGAUAUAAUUCGGAUAAAAUUCGUUUUUUAACUUUUAAAUUCUUUGAAAAAUACGGCUAAAAAACGGAUGUGGUAAUUAUUCGGAUACGUAAU
Molecule: long non-coding RNA, 786 nt
Filed under: Ananas comosus (pineapple)
Lineage: Eukaryota; Viridiplantae; Streptophyta; Magnoliopsida; Poales; Bromeliaceae
Description: long non-coding RNA (ACOM_LNC040625)
Source: RNAcentral